GCCCGUUAGAGAUAAAUCAUAACCCAAAUCGACUAAUUGCAUGUCAAAAUUGUCACAUGUAGUUUAACUAAUAGUAAAGGGAAAAUAAGAAGGAUUACCUUCCAAAGACCAUCACUUGCCAACACAAGGAGAUCAGUUUUGGUAUCCACAAUUGUAUCUUGAAUAGCAGGAUCAGAUCUCAAAUGGGAUUUCAGGCUUUUGUCUCCAAAUGCACGAGAUACCGCUAGUUGUCCGUUCACCCGAGGAACAUCCCCUAAUAAAAAGAAAAAAAAUAUAUAUAUAAAAUAAGCAAAAAAAUUAACCUAUGUUAAAGUCUUUAGAUGAUGGAAUGUAACUGGAAUUAUGUUAUAAACUGAUAAAUGAUAAAGAUGCCCAAAAUGACAACUUUACCUCUAGUUGAAUGACAACAACUUUACUUAAGGAAUGGAAUAAAUUACUGUUUUUGUCAUAAACAUCAUUCUUAUUAGAAAAAUUACAAAGAAAUACAAUGAUUUGCAAAAUGAAUAUAACUUUCAUACUCAUAUUUGACACGCAAAUAAAUUGUAAAAAAAAAAAAAAAAAACCGGAAAAAAAUGUGCUCCGGUAAACUAGAGGUGGACAAAUCGGGUUUUUUUUUUCUUUCUUUUUUUUGGAAAAAAAGAACGGUUAUUCAAAAACCGGUUCAGUAUGAUGAGAACCUAAACCGGUACAAACCGGGUUUAAAACUUUUUCUUUUUGUGUUAAACAUAUGAUAGAAAAAAAAGGAAAUUACACCGGCAACAAGCUGCACCGCUACCCUUAAAACCGGUUUGGGCCAAAAAAAAUUGGUUUAAACGGGUUUUUUACAACCAGUUCGGUAUCUAAACCGGUUACAAAGAUAACGAACAUGAACCGGUCACAAAUCAGGCCCAAACCGGUUUUUAGAAAAAAAAAAUGAUUCUGUUUUUUUUUUUUUUUUUAUCGGUUUCAAAUCUAAAAGCGUUUUUUUUUGCCCAUGUCUACGGUCAACCAACCCAACCCGUACCACAAAACUGUUAGGCUUGACCCAAACGGGCCACUCCCAUUUUGACCCGUUAUGUUUUUUUAUCGGUUUCAAAUCUAAAAGCGUUUUUUUUUUUUGCCCAUGUCAACGGUCAACCAACGCAACCCGUACCACAAAACUGUUAGGCUUGACCCAAACGGGCCAGUCCCAUUUUGACCCGUUAUGUUUUUUUAUCGGUAAAAAUCUAAAAGCGGUUUUUUUUGCCCAUGUCUACGGUCAACCAACCCAACCCGUACCACAAAACUGUUAGGCUUGACCCAAACGGGCCAGUCCCAUUUUGACCCGUUAUCCAACCUGUCCGUUUUGCAACGUCUAAUUGUAAUAUCAUGAUUUGGGGACAAUGCGAACCUCGUUUAAGAUAUUAUCAAACAGGUGUUUUUGAAGAUACGAAGGCACACGAUCUCCCGAAUGGCCAUCGUAGAUAGCGAAAAGGCCGAGUUCAUGGUGAUCUCGUUCCACAAACCUAGCAACAUGAUAAUCCUCCAUUGGAUGAUUAGCUUUUCCUUUGACUAAGUCAAAACCGAAUUUGAUAUCACCCUCAUGGUUUUUUCCCUUACCAGACUUAUAUGAUGUUGGGCCUCUUCUCAACUAUGAACACAAAUACAAACCAAAAAUCAUUAGUAAAAACAAGAUAACAAAAUACACAUGUUUUUUUUUUUGAGUAAACUGGCAAAAAGGUUUGGUCGCUUUUGCCACUUUAAUCCGAACCUCAAACCUUUUGAAUCUGGGUCCAUGUGGUUUCAGUUUUGUUCCACCAUGUUUUAAAAGAACAAAAGUUACUCUUUACUAAAAGUUUUUAACGCUCUACCAUCUCUUUUAUUUUUUACUAGGGGUGUUUACAGUCCGGUUUAGCUGGUUUUCACGAAAAUAAAAGGCCAAAAUGCUAACUAAAAACGGUAAACCAAAUUGGCUGGGUUGGUUGGUUAGGUCGUAUCGGUCAAACAAGCGAAAGCCGCUCGAUUUGACACCCUAAAAAUGGUAAAAGAUGGUUCAUGAGUAUUAUAAAAACCGGUAAAUGAACCGCCCGAUUUGAUCCAAACCAUGAACCGUACCGUAUAAACCUCAAACUAACCGAACUAACCGAUUUGAUCCGGUUUAAACAAUUUAAGACUACUUUUAACAAACAAAAAAAGAUGGUAAACAAAAGUAAAUAAAACUAACUUUGAUCAACCAAACAAUUAUAUAAUCAAAACAUACAUAAACAAAUAAAUCAAUUAUAAAAAGAAAAAUUGCAGAAUUAUGAACCAAAAAAAAAAAAAGAAGAAGAAUUACCUUGAAACAGCAUAAAUUAUCCAUCAAAUAAUAAUAAUCUGGAAACAAGAAACUAUUUUUUUGUCCUCCAGCAAGCAAAGCCACUUCAAAAAACAAUAGGAUUUGUGGAUGAAAUAUAAUAAUUAAAUUAAAAAAAAAUGGUUGUGU
This 2440-nucleotide long non-coding RNA is filed under the name Helianthus annuus (common sunflower). RNAcentral's name for it is "hypothetical non coding rna". The record is from RNAcentral. Lineage: Eukaryota; Viridiplantae; Streptophyta; Magnoliopsida; Asterales; Asteraceae.